UACGUAGGAUGCAAGCGUUAUCCGGAUUCACUGGGUUUAAAGGGUGCGUAGGUGGAAAUGUAAGUCAAAGGUGAAAGCCUGCAGCCUAACUGCAGAAGUGCCUUUGAUACUGCAAUUCUUGAGUACAGUUGAGGUAGGCGGAAUGUGUAGUGUAGCGGUGAAAUGCUUAGAUAUUACACAGAACACCGAUUGCGAAGGCAGCUUACUAAGCUGUAACUGACACUGAGGCACGAAAGCGUGGGGAU
This 245-nucleotide ribosomal RNA is filed under the name uncultured bacterium. RNAcentral describes it as "partial 16S ribosomal RNA". It matches the Rfam family "Bacterial small subunit ribosomal RNA", at positions 524 to 768 of the family's 1533-position model. The record is from RNAcentral.